GCAGCAGUGGGGAAUAUUGGACAAUGGGCGAAAGCUGAUCCAGCCAUGCCGCGUGUGUGAAGAAGGCUUUCGGGUUGUAAAGCACUUUCAGCGAGGAAGAAAGCCUCUGGGUUAAUACCCCAGAGGAAGGACAUCACUCGCAGAAGAAGCACCGGCUAACUCCGUGCCAGCAGCCGCGGUAAUACGGAGGGUGCGAGCGUUAAUCGGAAUUACUGGGCGUAAAGCGCGCGUAGGUGGCUUGGCACGCCGGUUGUGAAAGCCCCGGGCUCAACCUGGGAACUGCAUCCGGAACGGCCAGGCUAGAGUGCAGGAGAGGAAGGUAGAAUUCCCGGUGUAGCGGUGAAAUGCGUAGAGAUCGGGAGGAAUACCAGUGGCGAAGGCGGCCUUCUGGCCUGACACUGACACUGAGGUGCGAAAGCGUGGGUAGCAAACAGGAUUAGAUACCCUGGUAGUCCACGCCGUAAACGAUGUCGACUAGCCGUUGGGACCUUUAAGGACUUAGUGGCGCAGUUAACGCGAUAAGUCGACCGCCUGGGGAGUACGGCCGCAAGGUUAAAACUCAAAUGAAUUGACGGGGGCCCGCACAAGCGGUGGAGCAUGUGGUUUAAUUCGAUGCAACGCGAAGAACCUUACCUACCCUUGACAUCCAGAGAAGUUGGCAGAGA
RNAcentral lists this ribosomal RNA (665 nucleotides) under Salinicola sp. Its description in RNAcentral is "bacterial SSU rRNA". It matches the Rfam family "Bacterial small subunit ribosomal RNA", at positions 348 to 1006 of the family's 1533-position model. The record is from RNAcentral. Lineage: Bacteria; Pseudomonadati; Pseudomonadota; Gammaproteobacteria; Oceanospirillales; Halomonadaceae.